GUUUGAUAUCACCAGAACUGAGACUUGAGUCCAGCAGGGGCAAGCGAUGAAAUAAAGGAAAGCCAACAUGACGCAUGCCUGAGUGACCAGGAAUUGGGUUGUGUGCUGUGCACUUCUGUCUCAUUUCUGAUCACAGGCCUAAGGUAAUAGAACCUGCACUCCAGUGGACCCACUUGAGUCUGGACACCACCUAUACCAGGAAAGAAGUAGUUCCAGGAUAUACCUGGAAGACCACUACGCUAAAGGAGAUGGGCUAAUGAGAGCAGAGGAGCAGAGGCAGCCAAGA
Prionailurus viverrinus (fishing cat) is the source of this 286-nucleotide long non-coding RNA. RefSeq lists it as uncharacterized. The record is from RefSeq and is a predicted model, not a curated record. The transcript has 3 exons. NCBI's taxonomy places the organism in Eukaryota, Metazoa, Chordata, Mammalia, Carnivora, Felidae.